UGAUCCCAUACCUCAUCCAUAACGGAUAAAAGCGGGAUCCCAUCCAACCCUUCACAACCUUCCCACAAAAUCGCACACAGUCACACACUACAUAUGGCAACUACUUCAGUGACAACGUUAAUGUCCUCUAUUUUCUCAACCUCAGUUGCAUCAAAUCCGAAAAUCCCAGCACCCCUUUUGCAGUCAUCUUCUUGCAUGCAAUCCCAUCAAGAAUUUCCCCAGCUAAGUCUCUCAAGAAGAAACCUGUUCAAUGGACUUGCUAUAGUGCCAUUAUUACUAACAUCACCAGCUAAAGCUCGUGAAGUUGAAGUGGGAUCUUACCUCCCUCCUUCCCCAGCUGACCCUUCUUUUGUUGUCUUUGAAGCUACUCCCAAGGACACUCCUGCUCUUCGUGCAGGAAAUGUGCAGCCAUACAAGUUCAUUCUUCCACCAACUUGGAAACAGCUCCGCGUAGCAAACAUUUUGUCAGGCAAUUACUGCCAACCAAAGUGCGCAGAACCCUGGGUAGAGGUGAAGUUUGAAGAUGAAAAACAAGGAAAGAUUCAGGUGGUGGCUUCUCCUUUAAUACGCCUGACCAACAAACCUAAUGCAACAAUUGAAGACAUUGGAAGUCCAGAAAAGGUCAUUGCUUCUCUGGGCCCUUUUGUUACUGGAAACACCUUUGAUCCAGAUGAACUCCUUGAAACUUCUGUUGAGAAGCGUGGUGAUCAAAUGGAACUGCAUUUAUAGGGCUGAGCUAAAUACAGAAUGAAACAGGCAAAAGAGAACAUCGGGAAGUCUUUUAUAUUCUCUUCUGAAGAGGAACUGCGCCAUAAGGCUGAGCCAAAUACAAAAUAAAACAAGCAGAAGAGAAGUCAGCAACAAAAAACAUUAAGUAUAAACUGUACAUGAAGAGAACCAUUUGGUUCUGAAUUUGCAAUCAGCGAAGUACUAUAAGUAUGUUCUCGAGACUCCAUACGCUCUGACAGGAUCGCAUAAUCUUGCAAAGGCAACAGCCAAAGGUAACACUGUGGUCCUCUUCGUCGCCAGUGCCGAUGACAAGCAAUGGCCGUCAUCCAGGACAACAUUGCAAGCGAUCCUGGAUUCCUUCGAAGUGUAAUUUCUUACAGAAUUCUUAGUCAAGUUCUCUUUUACUCUUUUGACCUGAUAUGGAGUUAAAAUGUGCGCCUGUUGAACCAAAAUGUUCUGGUUUACAUGUCCUAUACCUCCCUAUGUUCUUUGCCUGCAUUAACACAACGCAGGAAAGCCAUGUCGAAGUUUGAAAAGCGUUUCUGAUGUAAUGAGCCCUGAAGGAUCAAUAAUGUUCCUUUUGUACUUCACGACCAACCCCAAGAAGUGGAAGGCGGAGCAAUUACAAACGUCUGGAAAUUAAGUGAUAAUUGUCAUUACAAACCGUUCACACUAA
Coffea arabica (coffee) is the source of this 1405-nucleotide non-coding RNA. The record is from RefSeq and is a predicted model, not a curated record. Lineage: Eukaryota; Viridiplantae; Streptophyta; Magnoliopsida; Gentianales; Rubiaceae.